UCAGUUGGCCGGAUGGCCGCUGCUUCGGGGUGCUUUGUGGGCCGUAAGGUCAGGCGCGCGCGGGGUGGAGGAAAGUCCGGGCUCCACGGAAACACGGCGCCGGAUAACGUCCGGCCGGGGCGACCCGAGGGACAGUGCAACAGAAAGCAAACCGCCUUCGACUUGGUGUCGCGUUUGGUGUCUCAAGUAGCGCGAAGCGCGAUAGACCCCAAGAUGAAGGUAAGGGUGAAAGGGUGCGGUAAGAGCGCACCGCAUAUCCGGCAACGGGUGUGGCAUGGCAAACCCCACCAGGAGCAAGACCAAGUAGGGAUGGCACGCCGGCGUAAGCCGGCACGCGGGUUUCCGCGCCGCCGUCCGGGUCGGUCGCGCGAGGCGCUCGGCAACGGGCGUCCCAGAUGAAUGGCCAUCGCCUGCCCAUAGGCAGGUACAGAACCCGGCUUACAGGCUGUCUGGCACC
RNAcentral lists this RNase P RNA (457 nucleotides) under Rhodospirillales bacterium. RNAcentral describes it as "RNase P RNA component class A". It matches the Rfam family "Bacterial RNase P class A". From Rfam's summary of the family: Ribonuclease P (RNase P) is a ubiquitous endoribonuclease, found in archaea, bacteria and eukarya as well as chloroplasts and mitochondria. Its best characterised activity is the generation of mature 5'-ends of tRNAs by cleaving the 5'-leader elements of precursor-tRNAs. The record is from RNAcentral. Lineage: Bacteria; Pseudomonadati; Pseudomonadota; Alphaproteobacteria; Rhodospirillales.